GCCCCAGUGGCCCAAUUGGCAGAGGCAUCAGACUUAAAAUCUGAGAGUUGUGGGUUCGAGUCCCACCUGGGGCA
This 74-nucleotide transfer RNA is filed under the name Arthrobacter sp. ISL-30. It matches the Rfam family "tRNA". From Rfam's summary of the family: Transfer RNA (tRNA) molecules are approximately 80 nucleotides in length. Their secondary structure includes four short double-helical elements and three loops (D, anti-codon, and T loops). Further hydrogen bonds mediate the characteristic L-shaped molecular structure. tRNAs have two regions of fundamental functional importance: the anti-codon, which is responsible for specific mRNA codon recognition, and the 3' end, to which the tRNAs corresponding amino acid is attached (by aminoacyl-tRNA synthetases). tRNAs cope with the degeneracy of the genetic code in two manners: having more than one tRNA (with a specific anti-codon) for a particular amino acid; and 'wobble' base-pairing, i.e. permitting non-standard base-pairing at the 3rd anti-codon position. The record is from Rfam by way of RNAcentral. RNAcentral also lists the same sequence under 1 other name. Lineage: Bacteria; Bacillati; Actinomycetota; Actinomycetes; Micrococcales; Micrococcaceae.